GGCCGUUAUUAACUGUCAAAUUUCGGAAGUCACUGUUGGAACAAAAAAUUUAAGCAAACACAAAAUAGUUCGGUGUGUUUUGUUUUAUUUAUUAGCCAUUGAGAAGCUUUAUUGUCCUUAAUAAUAGUAAUGAAAAACUUUAUUUCUUUUUAUAAUGUCAGACAAAAAAAAAUAAAUCGAGAUAUUCCGCACAAGUAGACGAUCCAAUCGCGGCCAAUUUGCGCUUCGCACGACCGUCGUCAUGUCGCGGAAGAUCAAAAAAAUACUGGUCGAUUUACGAAAUGCCUGCUAACCCUCGCAAGAGCAGCUUCGAAGAAUCUACCACCGGCUCGGAACUGCAACACGCUGAGAAGACCCGGCCAAAAGCUCGGUGGGCAGGAGUACCGAGCAGCAGCGGUAAUAACUUACCCAAACGAAAUAGUUCCCGCCUUCCAGAUAAAAACAAACUUGAAUAUUUUUAUGUUUUUCGUCGGUGGGAGUUCGAAGUUGCCUUCGUAUUUUUCGUUUCCAGGACCGUAUUUUUUAAGUAUUUGUUUUUUUAAUUGAUUUUCCAUACUUUUUGUAAACUGUUUUUUAUUCUUAUUCGAAAUUUCUUUCAAUACAUUUAUUUUUAUACC
Bombyx mori (domestic silkworm) is the source of this 617-nucleotide long non-coding RNA. RefSeq lists it as uncharacterized. The transcript is spliced from 3 exons. The record is from RefSeq and is a predicted model, not a curated record. Lineage: Eukaryota; Metazoa; Arthropoda; Insecta; Lepidoptera; Bombycidae.